CAAGGCUCCAAUCACAUUGCUAUACAACAUUCAAAAGCCCACAAAUCACUCAAUUUGAACAUGUCAGACAACCAACCAGCACGCAUCAGACAGGGUAGGGAGACCCAGACUGCGUCGGCUAGAGAGGGAAUGGGUGGCGCUAAGGGAAGAAAGGGUUCUUCAACCUCGUGCUCUCGCGGAGUGAAGGAGGUGAAGGAGAAGAAGAAGGUUUUGACUGGUUCUGCUUCUCGUCCCCUGGGGGUCCAUGGCUCGGACGUGCAGGCUCAGUCUUCAGGCGUGAGAGUCAUG
Long non-coding RNA from Vicia villosa (hairy vetch), 288 nucleotides. RefSeq lists it as uncharacterized. The transcript is spliced from 3 exons. NCBI's taxonomy places the organism in Eukaryota, Viridiplantae, Streptophyta, Magnoliopsida, Fabales, Fabaceae. The record is from RefSeq and is a predicted model, not a curated record.